GCUGGGCAUGGUGGUGCAUGCCUGUAGUCCCAGCUACUUGGGAGGCUGAGGCAGGAGAAUCGCUUGAACCCAGGUUGCAGUGAGCCGAGAUCAUGCUACUGCAGUUCAGCCUGGGCAACAGAGUGAGACUCUGCCUCAA
Molecule: non-coding RNA, 139 nt
Filed under: Nomascus leucogenys (northern white-cheeked gibbon)
Lineage: Eukaryota; Metazoa; Chordata; Mammalia; Primates; Hylobatidae
Source: Rfam by way of RNAcentral